Astatotilapia calliptera (eastern happy) is the source of this 1298-nucleotide long non-coding RNA. The record is from Ensembl. NCBI's taxonomy places the organism in Eukaryota, Metazoa, Chordata, Actinopteri, Cichliformes, Cichlidae.
CUGCAGUGUGAACGUAGACCUCAGCAGCAGCUGCUUCCAGGCCCUUGGUUGAUGAGCUAAGAGGUGGAAAACGGGCGGAGAAAGCCUAUGUGAAGACUUGAAAAUUGGAUCACACGACAACUCUGGAUCAUGGGUGGGAAAUGGAAUUUAUUAUGUUAGUUUCAGUUAGGUUUUGGCGCGUUCUAACCCUUUUUGUGUCUUUGUGGGCUGAUCAGCCACUUUUUAAGUUUCCCUUUUGUCUCAUUUAGGUAGGUUAGUGUUUGUUGCCAGCUUUUGAGUAGAGUUCUGUUACUUUGACCUCUUUUAUGGGCUCAAUAUUUAUUGUAUUUUUAUUUAUUUUAUUUUAUUUUUUGUAUAAUUUAACCAAGUUUGUUUUAUGGACUUUAACCCUUGCCUGACUUUCCUUGUCUUCUUGGUCCAUCACAUCAUAAAACAGAGAGAGAGUCGACUUAUUCUCCAAAUGCUAAUGAGGAAUACUCUUUCUCAUUGGCUGGUGGUAAACACAAAAGGCAUAAUUGCUUAAAAUGCUGAAACCGCUACCAAUCACUGCAACAGUACCGGUAGGUGGUGUUGCAGCAUCACACUCAGAGCAGACCCCCACAACACAACCACUUCACUUGGGUAAGAUGUUUUGCGCACCGGGAAUCAUGAUCCACACACUGGAUAUGCACCAUAACUACAGGAGCAGAACAGAAGUCUGGUGUUAAGGUGGAUUUUUUUCAUCGGUCUUGACUGAUAUUUCUUCUUUAACCAUUUGGACUCUUAGAUUUUUUUAUUCCAUUGACAAUGCAUCGUUCUUUCGUGGUGUUUGUGAGUUUUAUUAAACUGUCUCCCUUCCGUCAGACAGUGAUUGUUUUCACGCUAGUUGUUAUUUGCCCGUUUGUGUUUGGCUGAGUUUGAGCACCACUGUCAUUUGCAGGACAGAUGUUUUUUUGCUGCUGCCGCAUCAUUAUGACCCUGAGUCUGACUCACCAUCACAUGCUGCCAGAUGCAACUCGUCAACCGAUCCAAUAUUUUGCUUUUUAUUUUGUGAAAACGCGGGGACUUGCUGCCGCUGAUGGGGACUCUUUGGGGCUUCUUAGCGCAUGAAGGACCUCAGGCUUCUGGUGGGUUUCACAAAUAUUUUUUUUUAAAGAUGGAGAAGAUAAGAUGCGCUUAAAUGUUAGAUUUUUAAAUACUAGAUCUGUUUUUAUUUUCUGUCAUAUCCGUUUUUAUUGGAGUAUACAUCCCCAAAAAUUUCGGCUGGCGAUUUAUAGCUUGCGAAUAUCCGGAUGUAAUGCAUUUUGUAACCAUCACUC